RNAcentral lists this ribosomal RNA (3029 nucleotides) under Salmonella enterica subsp. enterica serovar Indiana. Its description in RNAcentral is "23S ribosomal RNA". It matches the Rfam family "Bacterial large subunit ribosomal RNA". The record is from RNAcentral. Lineage: Bacteria; Pseudomonadati; Pseudomonadota; Gammaproteobacteria; Enterobacterales; Enterobacteriaceae.
GGGUUGUGAGGUUAAGCGACUAAGCGUACACGGUGGAUGCCCUGGCAGUCAGAGGCGAUGAAGGACGUGCUAAUCUGCGAUAAGCGCCGGUAAGGUGAUAUGAACCGUUAUAACCGGCGAUUUCCGAAUGGGGAAACCCAGUGUGACUCGUCACACUAUCAUUAACUGAAUCCAUAGGUUAAUGAGGCGAACCGGGGGAACUGAAACAUCUAAGUACCCCGAGGAAAAGAAAUCAACCGAGAUUCCCCCAGUAGCGGCGAGCGAACGGGGAGGAGCCCAGAGCCUGAAUCAGCAUGUGUGUUAGUGGAAGCGUCUGGAAAGGCGCGCGAUACAGGGUGACAGCCCCGUACACAAAAGCGCAUGUGCUGUGAGCUCGAUGAGUAGGGCGGGACACGUGGUAUCCUGUCUGAAUAUGGGGGGACCAUCCUCCAAGGCUAAAUACUCCUGACUGACCGAUAGUGAACCAGUACCGUGAGGGAAAGGCGAAAAGAACCCCGGCGAGGGGAGUGAAAAAGAACCUGAAACCGUGUACGUACAAGCAGUGGGAGCCCCACCACUAAGCCAGUGGUGAACUCCACAUACGCAUCCUUUGCUGAUGGCAAUGGUUAACGGAGCGAAAGCGACGUUCAACCGCAAAACAAGCAGAGGGGGCUUAGUGGUGGGGUGACUGCGUACCUUUUGUAUAAUGGGUCAGCGACUUAUAUUCUGUAGCAAGGUUAACCGUAUAGGGGAGCCGCAGGGAAACCGAGUCUUAACCGGGCGUUAAGUUGCAGGGUAUAGACCCGAAACCCGGUGAUCUAGCCAUGGGCAGGUUGAAGGUUGGGUAACACUAACUGGAGGACCGAACCGACUAAUGUUGAAAAAUUAGCGGAUGACCUGUGGCUGGGGGUGAAAGGCCAAUCAAACCGGGAGAUAGCUGGUUCUCCCCGAAAGCUAUUUAGGUAGCGCCUCGUGAAUUCAUCUCCGGGGGUAGAGCACUGUUUCGGCUAGGGGGCCAUCCCGGCUUACCAACCCGAUGCAAACUGCGAAUACCGGAGAAUGUUAUCACGGGAGACACACGGCGGGUGCUAACGUCCGUCGUGAAGAGGGAAACAACCCAGACCGCCAGCUAAGGUCCCAAAGUCAUGGUUAAGUGGGAAACGAUGUGGGAAGGCCCAGACAGCCAGGAUGUUGGCUUAGAAGCAGCCAUCAUUUAAAGAAAGCGUAAUAGCUCACUGGUCGAGUCGGCCUGCGCGGAAGAUGUAACGGGGCUAAACCAUGCACCGAAGCUGCGGCAGCGACACUCAGGUGUUGUUGGGUAGGGGAGCGUUCUGUAAGCCUGCGAAGGUGGCCUGUGAGGGUUGCUGGAGGUAUCAGAAGUGCGAAUGCUGACAUAAGUAACGAUAAAGCGGGUGAAAAGCCCGCUCGCCGGAAGACCAAGGGUUCCUGUCCAACGUUAAUCGGGGCAGGGUGAGUCGACCCCUAAGGCGAGGCCGAAAGGCGUAGUCGAUGGGAAACGGGUUAAUAUUCCCGUACUUGGUGUUACUGCGAAGGGGGGACGGAGAAGGCUAUGUUGGCCGGGCGACGGUUGUCCCGGUUUAAGCGUGUAGGUGUGUGUUCCAGGUAAAUCCGGUUCACUUUAACACUGAGGCGUGACGACGAGGCACUACGGUGCUGAAGCAACAAAUGCCCUGCUUCCAGGAAAAGCCUCUAAGCAUCAGGUAACAUCAAAUCGUACCCCAAACCGACACAGGUGGUCAGGUAGAGAAUACCAAGGCGCUUGAGAGAACUCGGGUGAAGGAACUAGGCAAAAUGGUGCCGUAACUUCGGGAGAAGGCACGCUGACAUGUAGGUGAAGUGAUUUACUCAUGGAGCUGAAGUCAGUCGAAGAUACCAGCUGGCUGCAACUGUUUAUUAAAAACACAGCACUGUGCAAACACGAAAGUGGACGUAUACGGUGUGACGCCUGCCCGGUGCCGGAAGGUUAAUUGAUGGGGUCAGCGCAAGCGAAGCUCCUGAUCGAAGCCCCGGUAAACGGCGGCCGUAACUAUAACGGUCCUAAGGUAGCGAAAUUCCUUGUCGGGUAAGUUCCGACCUGCACGAAUGGCGUAAUGAUGGCCAGGCUGUCUCCACCCGAGACUCAGUGAAAUUGAACUCGCUGUGAAGAUGCAGUGUACCCGCGGCAAGACGGAAAGACCCCGUGAACCUUUACUAUAGCUUGACACUGAACAUUGAGCCUUGAUGUGUAGGAUAGGUGGGAGGCUUUGAAGUGUGGACGCCAGUCUGCAUGGAGCCGACCUUGAAAUACCACCCUUUAAUGUUUGAUGUUCUAACGUGGACCCGUAAUCCGGGUUGCGGACAGUGUCUGGUGGGUAGUUUGACUGGGGCGGUCUCCUCCUAAAGAGUAACGGAGGAGCACGAAGGUUGGCUAAUCCUGGUCGGACAUCAGGAGGUUAGUGCAAUGGCAUAAGCCAGCUUGACUGCGAGCGUGACGGCGCGAGCAGGUGCGAAAGCAGGUCAUAGUGAUCCGGUGGUUCUGAAUGGAAGGGCCAUCGCUCAACGGAUAAAAGGUACUCCGGGGAUAACAGGCUGAUACCGCCCAAGAGUUCAUAUCGACGGCGGUGUUUGGCACCUCGAUGUCGGCUCAUCACAUCCUGGGGCUGAAGUAGGUCCCAAGGGUAUGGCUGUUCGCCAUUUAAAGUGGUACGCGAGCUGGGUUUAGAACGUCGUGAGACAGUUCGGUCCCUAUCUGCCGUGGGCGCUGGAGAACUGAGGGGGGCUGCUCCUAGUACGAGAGGACCGGAGUGGACGCAUCACUGGUGUUCGGGUUGUCAUGCCAAUGGCACUGCCCGGUAGCUAAAUGCGGAAGAGAUAAGUGCUGAAAGCAUCUAAGCACGAAACUUGCCCCGAGAUGAGUUCUCCCUGAGACUUAAAGUCUCCUGAAGGAACGUUGAAGACGACGACGUUGAUAGGCCGGGUGUGUAAGCGCAGCGAUGCGUUGAGCUAACCGGUACUAAUGAACCGUGAGGCUUAACCUUACAACGCCGAAG